This 569-nucleotide ribosomal RNA is filed under the name uncultured bacterium. RNAcentral's name for it is "bacterial SSU rRNA". It matches the Rfam family "Bacterial small subunit ribosomal RNA", at positions 102 to 674 of the family's 1533-position model. The record is from RNAcentral.
ACGGGUGAGUAACACGUAAGUAAUCUGCCUUUAAGACUGGGAUAACCUUGCCAACGCGGGGCUAAUACCGGAUGUGGUCAGUUAGGCGCAUGCUUGAUUGAUUAAAGGAGUGAUCCACUUAAAGAUGAACUUGCGGCCCAUUAGCUUGUUGGCGGGGUAACGGCCCACCAAGGCUGCGAUGGGUAGCCGGCCUGAGAGGGUGUACGGCCACAUUGGGACUGAGAUACGGCCCAGACUCCUACGGGAGGCAGCAGUAGGGAAUUUUGCGCAAUGGACGAAAGUCUGACGCAGCAACGCCGCGUGAGGGAUGAAGGCCUUCGGGUUGUAAACCUCUGUUGAAUGGGAAAAAAGGGUAGCAAUACUUUGAUGGUACCAUUUGAGGAAGCACCGGCUAACUACGUGCCAGCAGCCGCGGUAAUACGUAGGGUGCAAGCGUUGUUCGGAAUCACUGGGCGUAAAGGGAGCGUAGGCGGGAUCGUAAGUUAGGAGUUUAAUACAUGGGCUUAACCCGUGGCUGGCUUUUAAUACUGCGGUUCUUGAGUAUGGGAGAGGGCGAUGGAAUUCCAGGU